UACGGGGGGGGCAAGCGUUGUUCGGAAUUACUGGGCGUAAAGGGCUCGUAGGCGGCCAACUAAGUCAGACGUGAAAUCCCCAGGCUCAACCUGGGAACUGCGUCUGAUACUGGAUGGCUUGAAUCCGGGAGAGGGAUGCAGAAUUCCAGGUGUAGCGGUGAAAUGCGCAGAUAUCAGGAGGAACACCGGUGGCGAAGGCGGUUCUCUGGGCAUUACCUGACGCUGAGGAGCGAAAGUGUGGGGAGCGAACAGG
RNAcentral lists this ribosomal RNA (253 nucleotides) under uncultured bacterium. RNAcentral's name for it is "partial 16S ribosomal RNA". It matches the Rfam family "Bacterial small subunit ribosomal RNA", at positions 524 to 776 of the family's 1533-position model. The record is from RNAcentral.